CAUGCAAGUCGUACGCUUCUUUUUCCACCGGAGCUUGCUCCACCGGAAAAAGAAGAGUGGCGAACGGGUGAGUAACACGUGGGUAACCUGCCCAUCAGAAGGGGAUAACACUUGGAAACAGGUGCUAAUACCGUAUAACAAUCGAAACCGCAUGGUUUUGAUUUGAAAGGCGCUUUCGGGUGUCGCUGAUGGAUGGACCCGCGGUGCAUUAGCUAGUUGGUGAGGUAACGGCUCACCAAGGCCACGAUGCAUAGCCGACCUGAGAGGGUGAUCGGCCACAUUGGGACUGAGACACGGCCCAAACUCCUACGGGAGGCAGCAGUAGGGAAUCUUCGGCAAUGGACGAAAGUCUGACCGAGCAACGCCGCGUGAGUGAAGAAGGUUUUCGGAUCGUAAAACUCUGUUGUUAGAGAAGAACAAGGAUGAGAGUAACUGUUCAUCCCUUGACGGUAUCUAACCAGAAAGCCACGGCUAACUACGUGCCAGCAGCCGCGGUAAUACGUAGGUGGCAAGCGUUGUCCGGAUUUAUUGGGCGUAAAGCGAGCGCAGGCGGUUUCUUAAGUCUGAUGUGAAAGCCCCCGGCUCAACCGGGGAGGGUCAUUGGAAACUGGGAGACUUGAGUGCAGAAGAGGAGAGUGGAAUUCCAUGUGUAGCGGUGAAAUGCGUAGAUAUAUGGAGGAACACCAGUGGCGAAGGCGGCUCUCUGGUCUGUAACUGACGCUGAGGCUCGAAAGCGUGGGGAGCAAACAGGAUUAGAUACCCUGGUAGUCCACGCCGUAAACGAUGAGUGCUAAGUGUUGGAGGGUUUCCGCCCUUCAGUGCUGCAGCUAACGCAUUAAGCACUCCGCCUGGGGGAGUACGACCGCAAGGUUGAAACUCAAAGGAAUUGACGGGGGCCCGCACAAGCGGUGGAGCAUGUGGUUUAAUUCGAAGCAACGCGAAGAACCUUACCAGGUCUUGACAUCCUUUGACCACUCUAGAGAUAGAGCUUCCCCUUCGGGGGCAAAGUGACAGGUGGUGCAUGGUUGUCGUCAGCUCGUGUCGUGAGAUGUUGGGUUAAGUCCCGCAACGAGCGCAACCCUUAUUGUUAGUUGCCAUCAUUUAGUUGGGCACUCUAGCAAGACUGCCGGUGACAAACCGGAGGAAGGUGGGGAUGACGUCAAAUCAUCAUGCCCCUUAUGACCUGGGCUACACACGUGCUACAAUGGGAAGUACAACGAGUCGCGAAGUCGCGAGGCUAAGCUAAUCUCUUAAAGCUUCUCUCAGUUCGGAUUGUAGGCUGCAACUCGCCUACAUGAAGCCGGAAUCGCUAGUAAUCGCGGAUCAGCACGCCGCGGUGAAUACGUUCCCGGGCCUUGUACACACCGCCCGUCACACCACGAGAGUUUGUAACACCCGAAGUCGGUGAGGUAACCUUUUGGAGCCAGCCGCCUAAGG
RNAcentral lists this ribosomal RNA (1437 nucleotides) under Enterococcus durans. RNAcentral's name for it is "bacterial SSU rRNA". It matches the Rfam family "Bacterial small subunit ribosomal RNA". Lineage: Bacteria; Bacillati; Bacillota; Bacilli; Lactobacillales; Enterococcaceae. The record is from RNAcentral.